Molecule: transfer RNA, 79 nt
Filed under: Clostridioides difficile
Lineage: Bacteria; Bacillati; Bacillota; Clostridia; Peptostreptococcales; Peptostreptococcaceae
Description: tRNA-Met(cat)
Rfam family: tRNA
About the family: Transfer RNA (tRNA) molecules are approximately 80 nucleotides in length. Their secondary structure includes four short double-helical elements and three loops (D, anti-codon, and T loops).
Source: RNAcentral
NNGGCCAUUAGCUCAGUUGGUUAGAGCGCCCGGCUCAUAACCGGUAGGUCUGGGGUUCGAGUCCCUGAUNCCCCUUCCA